This 68-nucleotide transfer RNA is filed under the name Candidatus Scatosoma pullicola. It matches the Rfam family "tRNA". From Rfam's summary of the family: Transfer RNA (tRNA) molecules are approximately 80 nucleotides in length. Their secondary structure includes four short double-helical elements and three loops (D, anti-codon, and T loops). Further hydrogen bonds mediate the characteristic L-shaped molecular structure. tRNAs have two regions of fundamental functional importance: the anti-codon, which is responsible for specific mRNA codon recognition, and the 3' end, to which the tRNAs corresponding amino acid is attached (by aminoacyl-tRNA synthetases). tRNAs cope with the degeneracy of the genetic code in two manners: having more than one tRNA (with a specific anti-codon) for a particular amino acid; and 'wobble' base-pairing, i.e. permitting non-standard base-pairing at the 3rd anti-codon position. The record is from RNAcentral. RNAcentral also lists the same sequence under 1 other name. Lineage: Bacteria; Bacillati; Bacillota; Clostridia.
GGGCGUAGCUCAGUUGGUUAGAGCGCCAGAUUGUGGCCCUGGAGGUCGCAAGUUCGAUUCUUGUCGCC